Long non-coding RNA from Manis pentadactyla (Chinese pangolin), 12452 nucleotides. RefSeq lists it as uncharacterized. NCBI's taxonomy places the organism in Eukaryota, Metazoa, Chordata, Mammalia, Pholidota, Manidae. The transcript has 2 exons. The record is from RefSeq and is a predicted model, not a curated record.
ACCUGAAAUCAUUGUAUAAUCAUACCGAUCCACUAGCCUUUUUAUUAGCUGAUUUUUCCCCCUUGCUCUCACACACAAUAAUGAUUUAAUGCCUUUUUCCUCCUUCUAAUUUUUAUUUGGCAAAACAAGAAAUCAGGUGAGUCAGAACAAUAUUCAAGAGCACACACUCUCUUCUAAAAAAAAUCCCCCCAUACUUGGCAAGGAUUUAUAUGUAAUUUGGUUGCAAAUUCAGAAAUCAAAUUCUGCUUUAUUCAAGGAAAAUAAUAGCACUUGGGUAAUUCCAGUGGAUAUUAUUCAGGCUGGUUUUUGAAAGUCUUUUUCUAAGUUGUUAUCAUGUUAUAUUAUUCAAAGUACUAUUAAAAAGUGCUCAAAUGGUUCAGAAGGAACCCUGGAAAACGCACUUGGUUGAUGAACACUGUGAUGGGCAAGUUUUCUGGAGGAAAAACUUGGUCUGUGCCUUUGGGCCAGGGACCAUGCCUAAGGUCAGAUGUUUGAAAAAUAAGUCAUAGGAAGGCUCUCGCUAUACCAGGAUGUUUAUAGUAUCAGCCUUAUACAGUUAUUUUUUCCUGAUUUCUUCCAAGAUCUGCCUAAUGGGAAUGCAGCCGGCAACUUCCUGCUCUGCUCCUGCACCCGUGUGUCCCCGCUCAGCCCUUGCGGCGGUCCGGCCCAUGAAAACCAGGGCACUUCAGUUUGCUUUUCUCAGUGUAGCCACAUUUGAUAGUUUAAAAUGUUCAGUAUGCAAGGCGUUCUGAGGACUUAGUAAACAGAUGCAUUUAAUCGAAUUAGUGAGUAGGAUGAGUGUUUGUGAAAACUUCCAUUUUCACUUGGGUUUUGAACGUUCAACGUGCAACACCCAAGAAUAAUGAUGUUUUUAAAGCUGGCCCAAUAAGCGAGAUUGCAAGUAUGAGGCGGCCCCUGGGUAAGAUGCCACUUCUUCACUCAUCCCCGACAAUGUGCCCUUUGGGGGAGCUGCUCAGAAGCUUUGGGUACUUUUUGUAAAGGCAAACCAGGCUUCUGAUUUUAUUCUUCACCUUUGUGAAGAAAUAGUUUGCAAAUAUGGGAUUCCAUUUUGAUACACCUAUUUCAUAAUAACUUGUACUCCUACUUUAGGAAGGGCUCAUUUUUACUCUGUUAUUUGCACAUGAGCCUACUGACAUUGGUUUACCCUGGGUCAGUAUUUUUGUUUUCCUUACAGAGAUAGUUGAGGAAGAAGAGAGGGUAAAGAAACCUACCAGUAAAGACAGAAGAACAGGGAAAGAGGUAAUGGCAUUUGUAGGGUCUCAGGCUGGGUGAGGAAAUGUGAGCAAAUAUCCAUAGGAAGGAUUCUUUCCUUCCAAACAUAAUGAAGCAUUUCACAAUCUUUUGCUUUAGUUAACUCAGUUUCAUGUCAAACCUGGCAUUAGUUAACAAGCAACAGAAAUAAAAUUCUGGCCGAAGGACAGCAUGUUUGAGGAACAAAGCCCACGGCAGACACUACAUUAGCAGCCUCCCCUACAACCCCCGCCCGGCAUACUGGCAGACCAUUUCUAUAUCUUCUCUCCUUUUGUAAAAAAUAUAAAAAACAGAUUUAGUGUGCCUGCAGCUGACAAUGAUCAGUCGUGUGCCUGUGUUCUCUCCUGACUGAUAGGUGGUAACUCCACACCCGUGCAAUCAUGUGUCUGCUUAGAAACCUGUGAACAGCUGUUUUAUCAUAUUUAACACAUUUUGGAAGUCCACACAUUCACAUCUCAUGAUGUGUUAUGUGUGUAUAUAUAUAUUUUUAAAAAGUUAACAAUGCUGAAAGCACUCUUAAGGAGUUAAUAUUUUUCAAAUAGGGCAUAAAACAACCAGAAGUCUACAAUAAAUGUGCAUUCAAUCCUAUGCAGAAAUAUGUGAAUAUACUGUAUAUAAUAGAUACAUGCUAGUAUGAAAAUUUUUUCUCUUAUAGAUGAGGAAUUACAAUUCAUAGUUUCCAUUCCUAAGUAGUAACAACACAAAUCAGAAAAUGUGAAUGAAGGAUAACAGGCCAAUAUCCCUGGCUAUACAUACAACUAUCAAACGCCAAAACUAGAUUCUUAGUUUCAUAUAAGGAAUGAGAAAAAACACAGUACAAACUAAAUUUUUUAAAAAUCAAAAUUACCUUUCCAAGAGAAGUGGGUGCUGAAUUUCAGUUGCUCAAUCCUAUAAUUUCUUCCCAAUUCAUAAGUUGGGAUGUUAACAUUUUCCUAAAGAAUUUAUUGUGCUGCUUACCGCAAAUUUGUAUUGACAAUUAAAGAUACAUUAGAAUUUGGAGUUUAACAAAUUCUAGUAAACGGAGGUAUUUAUUUCCAUGAAAGUGAAAAGACUUUAUAAAAUUUGAAAAGUAUUUUAUUUCCCAAAUGUCUAAGGAAUGCCUUCCUUUGACAGUUGAAAGACUUGAUUUAUUUGAAGUAUUUUUGCAUCUUAUCAAUCCUUUAUAGGGGCUGAAAUAGUCAUUAUUUUAAUGACUGCAUAUUCUUUUUGAAUCACAUCUCAGAAUUUAACUAUUAAAAUUUGAAGCAAUUUUUACACUUUAAAAACUGUCAAAUUUUACUUUAAAAAAUUUUUAAAUCAUGCUGAAAUACUAAUGAAAGUUGAAUUUCUUUCUGCCCACCCCAAAUGAGAACUUUCACCAUUUCUUAGCCACACAGUUCUUCAGUGACCUAGGUAACUGAUAUGUCCUCUGUAAUAAAGGAAAAUAAUAAUAAAGAAAAUAAACCCUAAUUAGAAUGCAAAUGGUUCAUUGUUAAAUUGCAAGGGACAGCAAGAACUUUUUCAAAAAUCAAGAGUACAGAGAUCAUGUCUUUAAAAUGUUCACAACACAGCCUAAGCUGCAAAGUGAACACAAACAGAAUGAGUGAUUUUUGUUGGGGUGUGGUGUGGGGGUCAGUUAGAAGUUAUUUGAACUGUGACCACAGUGGCCUUAUUUAUUGAAAUAGUCCUGUCUUAUUUUUUUAAAUCUAAUAGGAUUUCAUGCAACACAAGUGAGUAAUUUGCUUUAUAUGUAAUGACAGUUUCAUUUUCCUGAUUUUCUAAAUAUGUUUAGCCUUUAGAUUCAGUUACAGACAGAUAAGGUUAAGGUUGGAUUUUUCAUAUGUAUCCCUUCCACACAAAGUGAAGACUUGUUUUAACUAAAUUUAUCACUGCAAGACGAGAUAAUAUUUGAUGGCUGCAAAAAAAAAAAACUAAACUAAAAAGAAAGCCGGUGCUUUUGUUCUGUUUUGUUUCUUGCUAUUUAUAGAGCAACUUUUGGUGGAAUUCCUAAUUUUAAAAGAACAUGAAGUUCAUUUUUUUUUAACCAAAAGAAAGUGGUAAUGUUAGCGAUAGACAAGGGAUGACACUAACCUUGGAAAUAAGAGUCUAUAUAAUUUUUACAUGAAAACAUAUAUUUUAAAACAUUUCAGAAUUAUAAGAGGUGUGGAUAGGCACUUUCACUCCCGUGCUUGGUUUUCGAUGGUGUGCACAGGCAGAAAUUCUUAACUAUCAUCAAGGGUUUGCGCCUCUGCUAACAUCUUAUCCGUUAAGCAGUUUUUCUGCUCUGUAGUCUGCUACAAGAUCCUGCUUCCAAAGUGGGUUCUUCCCAGUGUUCCUACCUAGGAGAGACAGCCGCCUCCUUCCCUCGUUCUGACAACUUCUCAGAAAUUGGCAGUCUCUCACAAGCAGAACGCCGGAAAUUUUUAGGAGGACUCUAAGACUCACUGGGAAACUUCUCUUGCUGGGAAAAAACUUCUCAACGCACACCUGGAUCUACAGAUUCGGAAAAAUUAACCAGCUGUAGCCAAAAACCCAAACACUCAACCACCCGAACAGAGUCUGCAAGAAACACAGAGUUCUUUGAGCAACAAGAAGACUUGUAAAUAAAAUAGCUCCAAGGCAGACAGGCUGAAUGAGCCUUUUAAGACAGCCUGUUGGUGCCUCAAACUUUAAUAUUAGAACAUUAAAUGUUAGCAACACGAGGAUUCUACCCUGGGAUAUGUGCGUGCGCAUGUGCACGCAAUCAUGUGUGUAUGUGUACGUAUGUAUAGAAAUGAACAUUUUGCUGCCGCUGAGGCUUGGGGCUGAGUUGAGGUCCUGGUGGAGAGCCCCUAACUCGGGAAGAGGGGCAGGCUCUACCUGUAUUCUCUUUGGGUCACUCCCUUUUUCAUUCCACGUAUGCAAACACCCAAAACCAGUAAAAACAACCUGGUGUAGAUGACAAGGACCCGUCUCAGAUAUAGAAAAUAUUUCCUUGGAAUAAAAGAAAAAACAAAACCUGUGUUUUGUGAAUGGCAAACCAAGCUGACCUCAUUCAUCGUCAUUAGGACAGCAGCAAGGUCAGCACUGGGAAGUAAGGCACGGGGUGGGGCUGAGGUGCGCUCUCUGCCCUGCAGCUCCGGAUCCCUCAGGAGAGGUCAAACUGUGCAGAGCCAGCUGGGGUUUGGACCCCGCUGACGGCCCAGGAUAAUCAUUCAGGGCUCUUAGGCAUACAUGUCCAGAGUAGGAAGGUCUCCAGAUCAUCAAUUCCAAUCCCCCAAAUUGGGGGUCACUUGACUUGUCAAGUUCAAAGGCCUUGAGGGGCUGGGGAUGCUCUUUAUUGAGCCUGCUUUCUCACUAUGCAUGGCCCACACCCUUCUCAUAGCCAGUGAAGAGGGUUUCCAUACAGUUCAAGUCAACAGAAACUGCAUCAGUGCCAGGUUCCAUGUAAGCCGCCAAGCUAAGCAUUUUGAGAUCAUAAAACAAGGGCCUCGGAGUAGAGGGUUUCUCCUAAGGUACUAGGAUAGCAAGCGCUUCAUAAUUUACAGUGGUCUCACCCCAUCUCAGGCCAUGCCCACGACUCCACAGGACAACAGGAUUAUCAUAGUUCCUUAAAGGCCAGGGAAACUGAGGCUCAGGUGGGUGGAAUAGUGACUUGGUUUAAUAUUGCACAGACCUGGGACCCUCAGGCACACAUGCCCCUUUGUUAUUUUUGCCUUUUUUUUUUUCAAGGAAAACAUCACCACCUACCUCUUCUCACUCAUAUACACAUAGGCUUAUUUUAUAGGUUAAGAACAGUUUCCAGGAAAAACAGAGCCCCAUUGAAAUCUGAGCCCCAGAACUGCCUUAAGCUGGCCAGCUUUGGCAACCCUGCACCCCUACAGCCAGCUAUGGCCACCUGAGGCAUCCACCUCUCCCUGCCGGGUGCAUCCUGGCCACUCCUUCAAAACUGGGCUGGGAUGAAUCCACCUUGGAGGGUAAAACUGCAGACACGAGACCCCCACCAGGCCUGCCUGAGUCCUUGUAAGGAAGCCGCCCUGCCUGAGCUGAGGGGCCAACAGUGCCCUCUGUCCACCACACUUUCUCCUGGGUGCCAGCACCCUGAACCAGGGUUUUCCCCAGCCAAGCAGCUAAUGAGCCCCACCUGACCUUAUCCAUUGCAGUCUUCUCUGAACCUGGCAGGCCGCUGCUGGUAGUAUGAAAGGCCGAGCAGGUGACCAGGAUGGCCUGGAAAGACCUCAAAGUCCUGUGUCAGCAAGAACCACUGAUGGCCGGCUCCCUGUGAAAAGGCUCUCUCCUGCAAGGGUGGCCAGUGUCCCAGGCCUGGACAUCAGCAUUCUUCAGGGCAAAUGUAUGCUGAUCCGAUCGAGCUAUUGCUCCUCAGAAAAGAGAAAGGCCAGGUUUGAGCCUUGGCAGUGGAGGAAUGACAGUGAGGAAGGGGCAAAGAACCAGGGAACUGGGUUGUUUGGGAACUAGUUCUACAGAAAGGGAUGAUCGCAGGCAUGGCUCCACAGGGUUGCCUCUGCAGCAGAGAUUUGCCCCACACCCUGACAUUCACUGGAGCAUCCGCCUUACCCAGCUCGUGUACACCUGGGACCCCCACCCCAGCUCUAUCCUCUGGACCACCACAUCUUUCUGAAGCCAAAUUCUACAUUCAAAUAUGGCCCACCACAGAAGACAAGCUCAGAAACAAACUUAGCAUUUUAAAGUCUCCCUGGCAAAGCAACGUGAAGAAAACUAUGAAAUAAAUGAGGCGCGGACCAGAGGGCCUCACGUUGGCUUGGCUGAGACGUAGAGGCUGCUCUGUUCAUCCACAAAGGCAAACCCUUACUGAGACCCCUUUCUCUUGUUUCCUUUUUGCCCCUAAUUACAAGAAAAAGUGCUUUUUAAAAGAGAUAAAAACCUUUAAAAAAAAAAAAAGUUACAAGGAGCUAAGCUUCAAAAGCUUCUUGGGAUAAAAAUUAUAACCUUGUCCACCAUUUGAGUUAAAAACAAAGAAGAGAGGACAUGGAAUGGUCAGGGCCUGAAUUUGGUGUCAUCUGCCUCAGCGCCCUGCACAGCCAGUCUCACCUAAAACCGCCCCCGGCUCUGGAAAGGGUGCGCUCUGCGGAGAAGAGGGGCUGUGGGAGGGCUCACCGCCCGGGAGGGGCUGAAGGCUCCUGAUUUUCCCUCUGGGAGGCUGAAUUCUGCCUUCCCGGUUCCUUUUCUUUCCCACCUGCAGGAUUCCCAGCAGAGAAAGAAGAGGCACAGCAAACCUCUCCUGCCUGCACCCCGCGGGCCUCGGGCCCAGGGCGGCAGAGUCGCCGAGGCCCCUUCCCCGGCCGACAGGCCCCCGCUUGGCCGCGAUGGAUGCUCGGGGUCCACCUCCGCCAGGCAGCCCCCCCGGCUCGCGGCUCCGGCGGCGGGCGGGUCCGCGCGGGCCGGGCCGAGUGGCCGCGUCGGGAGCGGCGUGGGGCCUGAGGUCUGGGCCCGCGGCGGGGCCGGUGGGCCGCGGUCUGAGUCUGGGGCGGGGGCUGCGUGGGGAGGUCCGAACCGGAGGCCGGGGCCAGGGUCCGCGGUCCGGGUCCGAGGCCCGGCGGGGGUCCGAGUUCGGGUCGGCGCCGGGUCCGGGGUCCCGGGCCCGAGCCGGGGCGGAGCGGGGGUCCCGGCGGGGUCCGCGCCCGCGUGGGGGUCCUCGGCCGCGGCGGCGGCACGCGCCCCAAUUAGCCGCGGGCGGGCGGCGGGGCGGCCCCAUUGAGGGCGAACAAAGGGCGCGACCCCGGGGUCAGGGAGUCGCGGGCCGGCGGCCGCCGCUUUGUUCGCCCGCCCUGUUUACUCUGCGCGAGCAAAGCGCGCAAGACCCCGACUAAAGCGGAUUAGAGGGUCGCGCCCCGGGCCCUCCCAGCCCGACGGGCCGGCCCGGCCGCUGCUGCACAGCCCUUCCCGCCGGGGCCGCCGGGGAAACUGAGGCCGGGCCGCCGAGGCCUUGCCGGGUCUGCAGCGCGCGGGCGGCGGGCGGCCCUGCAGGGGGCUCCGGGCCGGCGGCCCCUGGCUCACCUGUGCGGCCGGACAGCGGGGCAGCCGUCCCGGGGAGCCCCCGGCCCGGCCUUCAGGCCGACCGGGACGGUGUGCUACUUCCCGGAUCCCUGCAUUUUAGUGACUCUGCCCUUCCCGACGCUGCUGGUCCUGGGAGUUCCUUUUACAGGGAAUCCAAUGGCACUUGCUUGAAGGCUAAGAUGCAGGAGAUGGGAACACGGGCGGAUUUUUCCAUAUCACAAAAUUCUGUAGCUUUAUGGUUAAGAAAGGAAACCCCUGCCUUUCGUCUUGCCACGGGCGAUGCACCCCUCGCUGUGAAUCAGCAGGUGACUCGGGAGUGUAGAAUGACAGUUUGAGAUCUAGAAGUCCAGGGAAGCAGAAGCUGGAGAAAAAAUUAUGUUUUCUUUUCUUUCUUUAAAGAAGGCAAAUAAUGAAUACAAAUAAACCAUUAAAAUUUCUACACAAAGACCGCAGUUUAUCAUCUGGCAUUACGAAUCCAAGAUCUGUAUACUUCUCCAGAUACGAACUUGCAGAAUCUUUUAAAUUGCUCUUAAAAACCAAGCAGUAGAAGCAGAAAGCACGAACUCAAAACCACACACACAGCUCUACAACGGGAGGGUUAUUAUUGGACCAAAUAUCCAAGAAGAUCGAGAAUGCAUUUUUUUCCUUCCUGAUGUUACUGUUUGGGAGGCAAAAGUACUUUGCCUUAAAUUCACACAAAAUCUUAAUCGAGAUUUUUAUGCCCUGCUUGUCCAAGCACAUAUGUUUGAUUAGGUGAACUCAUGUACUCUUUGAUGAAUAAACUAUCAAUGCACAAAUCUUUCAUAAGAGAAUAAUAAUAUUUACUUACUAUACAUAUUUGUUGGCCUAACGAAUAUUUCUGCCACAUGCCAUCUAUCCAUAAUUAUUGAAGGAAAAUAUGCCAUUUGUCUAGAUUUCACAGAGCUUUAAAAAGGACUUUUUCUUACUUACAACAAUACCAUGUGUUAGAGAAGACACAGCAAAGUGUAAUUUAAGAAUAAAAUAUAAAGAUAAAUAUUUAAAAUAAGAGAUUCAGUAAAAAGUAUAAAAUAUAAAUAAUCCAAAUAUAAAAUACAUGCAAAAAGGAAAAGUCACCUAUAUGCCAUUAUCCAGAAAUAAUAUUCUAUUUUACUUCCUUUCCAACAGUGACAUAUGCAUAGUUACAUAAUUUACAUACAGAGUUACUAUUUGUGAAAUGCUGUAUCCCAUACCUUCCCAUGCCCUCAUAAACUCUUUGUCAACAGCAUUUUGACAGUGACACAAUAUUCCAUUAUUUUGUUACGUGAUAAUUUGCCCCAGCAUUCCCUAUUAUUCCAAAUUUAAUUUCUCGCUAAUAUUUCUCAACUGUAAAUAACACUGCAACCAAUGGCCUUGCCUGUGAAGUGUGUCUGCAGUGUGGGUUAUUAAUAAAUCUCUAAUAAUCUAUUGUUAAGAUGCUGAAUCUGCUACAUUAUUCUAAGGGAGCUAAGAGAGGCCCCAUAGACUCUAUUUAUCCUAUCAGAAAUGAACUUGGAAAUUCUAGCAUUCCCUUGAGGUGGUGGUUAUUCCAGAAAGCAAUACGGAAAUCAGUCUGUCCCCCUCCACAGGCCUGGUGAUGUGGAACUUUGCCUGCAGGAUUUGUGGGACCAGCCGAGGCACACCCUGAUUGCGACAUGGCCUCUGGGAAUUGUGCCCUGGCACAAAAGUGCUGGUCUGGGUCUGCCUUCCGAGCCUGUUGGCACUGACCCGUGGCAGUUCGGUGGGUUUAAAUCAGGACUAUAAAGCCAAACACCUUAGAAACAUUAUCUCAACAGUUCUGACAGGACGUUGCACACCUAAGAAGGGAUCUGGCCCAAGUCUCUUUCUUUGCUGGGAACUCAAACCUCAGGCUUGCUUUUCACCAUUUGCCCCAAGCUGCAGGGUCCUGCCUUCCUCCCACCAGCCUGCUGUCUCCUGCCUGGAGAAGGCCUCGCUGGGCUCUUUUGCCUCUCCAAGGUUUGGGCCUGUGAGACACUGUUUUAUGCCACUUGCCCCUUCUCCCAGUGCCUGGGCUCUGCCAUGGGGUCAGCUGGCGGUUUGUGUGGCCUGCCCUGACACCGCUCCCAGGACAGCAGGAGAUGGGACUAGGCGCCAUGGAGCCCCCAAUCUUCUCCCUCAACACCAGGGCCUGUGCUGGGCCUGCUGGCAGGAGGUGGAGGCCAGAGAGGAGCAACUUCCACGAAGAACAGAAGCACAAAGAGGACAGGAGGACCCAGCCGAAGAGCAGCAUGGAGUUAGCCGAAAAUAGAUGUCACCAGAACUGACAAGGCUGAGGAAAGCCUGGAAGGAAAUAUGUGGAAAUAUGACAGCAGCUUUAGGGAAGAGGAUGAUGAAGAAUGUUCCCAUACGUGUAUUUUUCUGUAUUUCCCAAAUGUUCUAUGGAUAUUGCCUUCGUAAUCAGAAAAGGAUCAUAUUACUGAGACAACUAUAUUUAUUAAAAGUCAAAAAGAUAGAAUUCAUUUUAAGGGUCAAAUGAAUUACUGCUAAUAUUUACAAGUUUAACACAAACAAUAAUAGUCCUAUAUUUCCGGGCAAGUUAUUAAGAUGUAUAUAACGGUAGUUCACGUAUCUCUGGCACUUUACCCUUCAGAGAAACACUCUGAAACAGAAAAUGAAACUGGGCAGCGUCGCUAGGCAGAUACUGCCUGCCGUUGUCAUAUUCCCACGGCAACCCCCGACAGUGGGCCGGGAUGGACACUUUCUUCUCAUUUUAAAUCUGGGAGACUGAGGUUUGGAGGAGCAGAGAGCGCCAGGACUUGGACAGGGGUUUUGAGUCUCCCAGGUCCCUACAACAGCUUCCAGACCUCCGAUCCCGGCACCUUCCUGCAGGGAAGGCAUUUUCCCCAGGGGUCUAGUGUGGUUCCCAUUAUUUCCAGUUUUUUUCCUCCAUUACUGGAGGUGGUGCCUAUGGCCAGGUGGAAUUGGAAUUAGUGAAGAUGUUGUGGGAUUUGCUUCAAAAUAGAGCUAUUUGCACAGGGCCCACUUAUCACUUGAGAUAUGCCCCAGCGUGCGGGUCACGCUGAAAAGCGGCCUGGCCGAGGUGGCUUUGCCUCAGCCAGGCAGGUGCUGUCCAUUUCACAUGAUAAUAUGAGAGCCAAAUGCCACACUCCUCCUGGCAAGAGGAAAACGUGCCUAGGACAGUGUCUCAGGUACAUGUUUGUGGAGCCUCUGGAGUGUGAGUCAAAGCUGCAGCCAUAUUUCCACUGAGGAACGCAGUAUGCCUGUGGGGGCACACACCUUUCCUUAUCAUAUUUUCAAAGAAGUGGGCCAAUUCCAGUCCCUUCAUAACAACAGCUUAAAUACAUUUGCAAAUCAAAUGUAUUUGAUCUUACAUCUCUUUCUUUAAAAGUGAGUUAAAAGGCAAACCAGCAUGUUAUGUUCUACUCUAAAAGGCAAUUUCUAAAUUUGGAUUUUGAAAAAAAAAAAUUGUACUCCAGCUUGAAAAUCCAAUGGCUCUCAGAAUGCAAGCGAGCUACACCACUCUUUGUGCUAAAAUCAUCUUAACUGGUUUAAAAUAAAUCAGAACAAAAUGAUGUGCGCUGCACAUAUGUCUCCCAUCACAGGUUUUCUGCAGGCAAUGGGGUGCAGUGGGGUGCGGUGCAGCACACACACCAUGUUCCAUCCACGGGGCCCCAAUUCCUCAUCCAGUGAGUUCUCAACAAAGAGGCACCAACAUCUCAUGGACCAAGCAGACCUUGGCUUUUUAUAUUCUGAAGACAUCCUUAGUUUCAGACAAGGAUUAAAUUAUAAAAGAAAUGAUUAUAAAAUGUAAUCAACAGGUAAGAUGAUUAAAUCAGAGGCAUUUACUUCCUCCAAGAAAAAUGUGGUGCUUGAAAUCUUUAAGCUGUAGUGGAUGGCACAUUUUCAAAAGAGCCUUUACUUUACUUCCCCUCCUCACCCUGGGCACGGCAAACCAUCUUGCCUUCUAAACUCAAAACACACACCACUUUAAUUUAGCAAAGAAGGGCUACAAAGCAGAAUCUCUGCAGAUCAUUUUUAAAUUUAAAAGAGACAAGAGACCCUUAACGGUGUUUUAAACGUUUUGGGGGGCAGUUACCUUUUCCACGUGUUAAUAAUUUAACUGUCAAAUCACAACAAACAACUAAUUCCCUCUCUGAGAUGCUGGGAUUGCAACCUAGAAGUCGAGAUUUUAAUUGUAACUAGCCAAUAGCAAAUGCUGACAGAAGUCCUGCUUUCAAAGUGUCCUGAGACAGGGCUGGGACAUGACUAAUUUAUUUUAUCUUCUCCAUCUAUCUAUGCACACAAUUAAAAUAUUUAUAUCAGUCUGUUCACUUUAAAACAUGUAGUGCAGGCACCAGCUUCAGGGCCACUCCUCCAUUUUUCACAGUUUUGGCUUCUCAUUGUUUCCAGAAGUGCAGGGCCCAUGCAUGGUGAAUGCUCACACAUGCCGCUGACAUCUUUCAGUAGGGAGCUCAGUACACGCUGCUCUCUAACUCAUCUGAAAACCCCUCCUCAAGCUGCACAAGUGCUGCACAGGCACGGUGACGGAGCUGCUCGGACAACGCCUCUUGCCCAAGAGACGCCAAUGAAUUCCUGCAGGCCUGAGCCCAGUUUCUAGACGGAGUUUGCCUCUGGCCCAGGUGGCUGAUGGAAACCAGAGCCUGGUAAGGAUGCCCCAGCCAGGCGGCCAGGUGUCACUGUUUGUGGCUGACGUCACGUUUCUAUGGGACACGGCUGUGCUGGACCGGGUUUGUGGGGGCCGAGGAGGGCCAGCAGCCUGUCUUCUCCUGGGGGGACAAUGGCUGGAAGAUGCCAUCACGUCUCCUCCACUGAGUGACAACCCCUCACCCGAGGGCCAGGAGUACCAGGCCCUCAUGGCCACAUCUGACUCCCGCCUUGCGGUCACCUGCCUCGAGAAUUGGGUCUGACACUUAGGGGUCUGGGAAUCCUUUGUGAAACACGUAUGUGUGCACAGGAACACACACAGACAUAUGGAACGGCCCGGCUCCUCCUCACAGCAGGCUGCGUCAGCCCCGCCCGGCUGGCCUUCAGAGAAGCCGGCUUCACGGGGCACCCAGAUGGCGCCCCUGGGGCCCCAAACUGACCCUCUGUCUGGGGACAGCCCAACCCAGCCCGGGGCUCCUUCCUCCAUAAAUAAUAAAAUGAUAUUUUAUGCCAAUAUUGGUAUAAAGAUGGAUAUAAUCUAG